UACGGAAGGGGCAAGCGUUGUUCGGAAUCAUUGGGCGUAAAGGGCGUGUAGGUGGUUCUGUAUGUCUACCGUGAAAGCGUACGGCUCAACCGUAUUUAGUCGGUAGAAACUGCAGGACUCGAGGCUGGGAGGGGCUGGUGGAAUUCCCCGUGUAGCGGUGAAAUGCGUAGAGAUGGGGGAGAACACUCGUGGCGAAGGCGGCCAGCUAGACCAGUUCUGACACUGAGGCGCGACAGCGUGGGGAGCAAACAGG
Molecule: ribosomal RNA, 253 nt
Filed under: uncultured bacterium
Lineage: Bacteria
Description: partial 16S ribosomal RNA
Rfam family: Bacterial small subunit ribosomal RNA
Source: RNAcentral